Molecule: RNA transcript, 4402 nt
Organism: Ceratina calcarata
Lineage: Eukaryota; Metazoa; Arthropoda; Insecta; Hymenoptera; Apidae
Exons: 2
Source: RefSeq, a predicted model, not a curated record
GAGGAAAAUUCACGCGCCGGCCGCUCCUAGUAUUAUUAAAAUCAUUAUUUCCUUCUUUUCGGUAUUCGUACCUGCGGAAAUAAAUAGGAUGCGUGUGCAAGGGGAGAGUGCCGUAUUAUUUUCGAGGCACGAACCAAAAAAAAAAAAAUGGAAUUUGCACUGGAACGACGUCGCGAAUGGAUGGAAACGGAAGUAUUACGGUCAAAGUGAGAGAAAAAAGGCGGACAGUGGAGGGACGAUAGAUAAAGAGAAUCGAGGGGGGCGAACAGGUGAGAGAAAGACAAACAUUAUAACGUGACGAACUCAAUGCCGUGCGCAUCCUGAAAUCAGUCAUUCGGAAAGUUUCUAACUGUCACCUACAUUCGCAGCGCUCUUCAUUCUACGUAUGUUUUACAAUGGAUUCCAUCGAUUACAGAACGAAGUGAUAAAAAGUAGAUUAUAAUGUAGAGGAAAUAGUAGAUUCCGAGUUCUGUGUUCGAUAAUGAAUCGUCGUUUCUUUAUAGUUUACGAUAAUAAUUUCAUAGUUGAAAUUCUAUUUUCUUUUGAAGCAAGAAAGAGGAACCUUUCUCAAAUUGUUGUUGAAAUUCUUCGAGAAUCGUUAUAAAUAAAUGCCUGAUAAAAAAUAUCAUGCACGUGUCAUUUUAUACUAGCUCAGCUAAUCGCACGUUACGAGUUUGAAUAAAUGAAUGGCCUCUACGAGACGUUCACCUUCGUGUAAAUAAAUAAUUUUACAUUAUUCCAAGUAGUACAUUAUUCAUACCGUUGCGAUUUAAUUCAUAUUUCGAAAUUGUAUGAAUAAUUCAGAGUACGCAAUUUCGCUGAAUUAAUUAAAUGCCACUUUUGUACAACGUUAAUAUUCAAAUGUAGAUCCCGCGGACGCGAAACAAAAAUCGUCGGGACGUCGAAUAAUAUCGGGGACCGUGGACAAUCAAUCGCUGACGAUGACUGUCCGCUAUUAAGCAUAUUCAAUGAAGUAGCGAUUGACAAGAGACGUAUUUCGUGAUCGACAGGAAUUGCGGCGCAUUUCACCCGGGCUGCCGAGAGGUUCGGCAAAAUUAAUCACGCCGCUCCGCGCCACGCCGACUCGGUAUCCCCACGAUUGAUGGUCGCGGCGGACUCAAAAACCGAAAGCGUGAAUAUUCACGGGCCACGGCCUCAUUUCUAUUUCGCUAGCCGCGCCGAUCACCGUUGUCCGAAAUAAAUAACACGAAAUACGUCAUCCACGAUGCAUCUACGUGUCAUCUAUCGCGUCGCUCGGUCCUCGUCGCGAAUGGUACUCCAGGGAAUUAUGCGGGGAAGACCAGCGCAACGAGGAUUCACGCGAAAAUACUGGUUAUAAUCGUGCUGAUUGCACCCAUGCAUCCAACCGACCACUAUUACUCCUGGAAUCUCCGCUUGACUUCAUCAUAAAUCAUAUUUGCAUUCUUAUUGUCAAAUGUUUCCUGAGAAUAUUAUCAAUUGAAAUUAAUAAAUCAAUUUAUACAUCCACUUGUUGAUAAUAAAUCUUGUAAAACGACGACGUUAUUUCUAUUGAGAUUUCGGUCUAAAGUUUAACACGUUGAAUGCCACGCUAAUUUUACAGGAAUUGUCCAUGGCGUCACUGCCAAGUUGAGUGCCGGUCACCGGUGACCUCCGUGGCAUUCAACGUGUUAAAGUAUGAUAGAUUCAUUUAAUUUAAGCGAAAUUGAAUGCCUUGUGCGAUAUAUGUAGUAUAUGUAGACCUAUACGAUUCUACAACACGGCACUAUGCGACAGUGUAUGUACCCUUAUGUAGGUCACAGGUCGAACCACGUCAGCAACUUUCAUUAGCUUUUAACAACUACAAUAAACAAGGAUGAACAUAUUGGCUAAACGAGGAAUGAAAACGGUCGGAUCAAUUCCUUUAACGCCGUUUAACGAAGCGUUGAAAUUUUUUACAACAAACGAGACUACCAAACGGAUGUAAGUUCUAAGAGAGGCUCUCCGGAUAUUAAUGAAGAGUAAUCAAACCGCGGUUGAACGGAAGGGAAACAGGUUCGCUGGUUUAAAAGUAAAGAUCAGUUGAAUCCGAUGUCUCGGCGAGGAAAAGUGAAAACGUCAGCGUCUGUAAAUUGUGUAACGACGGUGCCGACGUGUGCAAAUACGGUACGCGCGCGCACGUAUUCGCGCGGAUCUACGCGUGUGUAUUUACAUACGUGUCGCGAUUACCGAAGCAUCGUGAUACCGCGCGGACGGCGCGCGUGUGGAACCGUGGAAAAAGGUGGAGAGGAAACGGCAACAAAAAGUUUGCGGGUUGCACCGUUAUUUGCGCUCGUAAACAUGACUCGGCGCGCUCGCACGUCCGUGCGCUCGCUGCAAAGAAAGGAUCGCAUCAUUCACCCCAAAGAAUGAUUCUCCUUCGGUUAACGAGGACACACCCGGCGAGCUCGAUAAGGAAGACGAUGUCGAGUUGGCGAAAACAGGAUUCUAUAGAUCAGGGGAGAGAUUCGGACGACAAUGCGGAGGAACGAAAAAAAUUGACGAUCGUUUUCGUUCCAUGAUGCUGACCCAAAUUUCACCGCAGAGUUUCCGCAUCGUUGACGCAGCAAACGUUCCCGGUCCCCUUUCGCGUACGUCCCUUCCCAUCGUUCAACCCCGUCCCGAUCUACCGAUAAAAUCUAAUAUCCCCACGGUUUGUAAUUUCCAAUCCAGUCGUGAUUAUGGCAACAGCGUUUAUUGCCUCAGCUGGAAUGACACUCUUGAAUUCAAGAAUGCAUGACGUGUCGACAAUUCAAUAAUUUCAAGAUGAAUGAUAAGUCCGACUACUGGAAAAUACAAUGGAAUAUUGCCUCUUUGGAAAUAAAUUUUACAUACCAUUUAAAGUUCUAUCUAAAUAUCCUCGGUUUCGUUUAAAUAUUUACGAUGAAAGGUAGAAACAGGAAAAGCUAGGAGCUGUCCAGUUGUACGCGCUUAAGUGGCCGGAAAUAUUUCGCUUACACGGAAACACAACGGGCCUCGCUGCGUUGAACGAACAAUGUGCUUUUAACCUGGUCGAAUAAAAUGUUACGUCAGCCCAUCGAACGUUCAUCGGAAACCCGGCCUCGUUGGCUGACGGAUACCGAGGCCGGUCUGCUGCCCGAUAACGAAAUUAUCUUAAUCCGGGCCGAUCGAUUGACAGUUAGUCGAUUGCGCGGCAUUGCUAGAUGACUCUGAGUUGUACGGACUGACGGCCGUUGCAGCGGCGCGCCGUGUCCAUUGUGCACCGCACGGUGAAAUUGAUGUGUAUUUUGAUGCCCCGAAGUACACGAUAAUGUACCCAUUGAAAGACCCCUCGCGGUCAAGUCUCGCACCGAAGACGCGUAUAUAAUAAUGAAAAUGCGCUCUCCCGCAUGCAUGAAUGGCUCGUGGACCUGCCAGCAGAUAAUUAAUAUCUAAUGAGGCAGCAGUUAUGAAAGUCAACAAUUUCACAAAUUAAGAAGAUGUACUCAAAAGUAUGUAGCAAUCGUCUAGACUACGUGUACUGCGUACAUGCAUAGGAAAACUUGUAUAGAAUGAAUGUUACUUGUGUGUGACCUGUUUUUCCACGCUGCGUGCGAAUCUUACUAACAAUAAGAUUCAAGGCAAAUAAUUAACGAAUGCCUUUAUGUGUAACUCUUGGUCGAAGUAAUCGUUUCCACUUAUUUGUAGGAAGCAUACAAUUAUUUGAUAUACAAUACGACGGGUUUCCUAUUAUAAAAACAGCUCAUUAACUUGACAGGAAUCCUUAUUUAGAAUGCCGGUAGUUCGACUCGAUGUCAUGAUCUGUUUUUUGCGCUAUUAAUGCCUGAUUGCUUUUUAAUCGAUACGUCCUCCUCGAGGCAGACAGAUAUGUAAAGGAAAAAAUGCUAUUGGAAAUAAAACAAGAUAUGAGUAAUCAAUGCGUCUCGAUUCCUCAGUCGGAAGUUAUUAGUCACAGAUGAUUGAAAAUCAUAACAAGUUCGUAUUAAAUUCAGAUGAUAUUUUAUCCAUAUAAGAAUCGAUAUUUAAAAAAGUCUGAUGUUAAUCGAAUUGACAGACUAUUUUCGUGCUCUACAAAAAUUUCACACUAUUCCAACCGUAACUGAAAGCGGAAAUUAUAUAAGUGAUUCAAGACCUUGCUACUGGUGCAUAAUUUCGUAAACGGUGCGCGCUGUGAACCUUGUCCUCCUUCCAGUAAGAAGAAUUAUUUGUCUGUAAGACGUUCCACGAAAUUCAAGCGAUAACAUUGUAAUUCGAUGUACGUGUAAUAACCAAUGAUGUUUCUCGGUGACAUACAUAUUCACAAGGAGGAAAAACAGUGAACAAGUAUGAUUCUCGACGAUCAGACGCGUAAAGAGGUUAAUUGAGGACCUCCUCCGCUGUUAACGUGUACGAAGGUUGUAACGUCGCAGUGCAAAUGGUUGAAUAGUCAAUUGCUAAUGUAAAA